GACAGAGGGUGCAGACGUUGCUCGGAAUCACUGGGCGUAAAGGGCGUGUAGGCGGGAAGGAUAGUCAGAUGUGAAAGCCCUGGGCUCAACCCAGGAACUGCAUUUGAAACUCCCUUUCUUGAGUGUCGGAGAGGAAAGCGGAAUUCCUGGUGUAGAGGUGAAAUUCGUAGAUAUCAGGAGGAACACCGGUGGCGAAGGCGGCUUUCUGGACGACAACUGACGCUGAGACGCGAAAGCGUGGGGAGCAAACAGG
Molecule: ribosomal RNA, 253 nt
Filed under: uncultured bacterium
Lineage: Bacteria
Description: partial 16S ribosomal RNA
Rfam family: Bacterial small subunit ribosomal RNA
Source: RNAcentral